This 470-nucleotide ribosomal RNA is filed under the name uncultured bacterium. RNAcentral describes it as "bacterial SSU rRNA". It matches the Rfam family "Bacterial small subunit ribosomal RNA", at positions 29 to 526 of the family's 1533-position model. The record is from RNAcentral.
AGUGAACGCUAGUGGCGUGCUUAACACAUGCAAGUCGAACGGACGAUAUUUGUGCUUGCACAAAUAAAGUUAGUGGCAAACGGGUGAGUAAUACAUGAGAAUUUUCCUUGCAGUACGGAAUAACUAUUGGAAACAGUAGCUAAUACCGUAUAUUGCCGAGAGGUGAAAGAUUUAUCGCUGCAAGAUAAGCCCAUGCAAGAUUAGCUUGUUGGUAAGGUAAUGGCUUACCAAGGCUACGAUCUUUAGCUGGUUUGAGAGGAUGAUCAGCCACACUGGAACUUAGACACGGUCCAGACUCCUACGGGAGGCAGCAGUGAGGAAUAUUGCACAAUGGGCGCAAGCCUGAUGCAGCGACGCCGCGUGAAGGAUGAAGGUUUUCGGAUCGUAAACUUCUAUCAGCAGGGAAGAAAAAAUGACGGUACCUGACUAAGAAGCCCCGGCUAACUACGUGCCAGCCGCCGCAGUAAUAC